CGGAAUAGUGUUAUAAACUUCCUCAGCAUUUCGCGCUGCAAGUCCGGAAGAAAUGUAUGUACUACCUGCUUAAACUAUGCCAAAAGUGAGCUGCGCAAGCAAAAAGCUCAGAACCUUCCAGAAGACCCACACAGUGAUGGUGCCGGGUCAAGCGAUGCCAUGUGUCUAGACGCAGACGUGUCGAGCACAUCGUCAAGUCGCGUUGAUGCCACAGUACAGGCGUCAGAUCCCUGCGCAGAGAACCGCAAAAAGACGACGAUUGACUCGUAGUCACAGCCCAAGAGUUCGAACGACAAGACGUUGAUCUGUCGCUUCAAGUGGUCAUAGAAGCAUGGGGCUCUGGCGCCAUGGCAGAGACAAGCCUAACUGAGCUUUCCAAAGCAGUCGGGUGUGCUCUCAAUGGCCACCUUCUUAAAGAUGUGGAAUCACUAAUGCCUGAAUUCAUAAACAUCACGUCUCUUGAAGCCCUCGACGUGACGGAGUGGCUAAGAGCUCGUACCAAGCCAGUGAUAAGUCUAUUAGAAGCCAUGACCAAAGGAACAGGAAAAGGAAGCAAAUCGGGUCAGAGUUCAAGCUGUCAAAAAAAAGCUCAACAUGGUCCUUGCCUACGAAAUAUGAUGUCCUGUAGACACUCUCGUUUUGUCGGCCCAUUCAGUUUCGCCAACGCCAUUGUGAAAAACACUUUUCGUCGGAGCGCUGCCAUCACUGAGCUAGACGCGGUAAUGACAGCCAGUGGCUCCAAGACGACACACAGAAACUUUCUGCAGGCCAACGGCGAGACACCAAACAUCGUAUAUGCACCUGAUAGUGAAUUAUGGUUCGAUAACAAUCAGGUUGUGGGGAGGACGACGCGUGUUUCUGCUGGCGGCCAGCGACUGAUGAGCGGCUGCACUAUGGUCGCCUCCAUAGCCUGCAGCGCGUCCGACGCACCACUCCAGAUUGAUGCAUCUCUCAAGCCGGGAGAAUUUGAAACCCUUCAGGUGGAUCAGCUGAAAAUCGACAUGCAGAAACUAAACGAACUCGAAGCGACUCUGAGCGACAACUAUCGCCGGUUCCGGUCUGACUUCUGGAGCGGCGUGCUGGCUUCUGUGCAAAGCGAACAGCGUGCCGUCGCAUCAUCAUACUCCGGCUGGAUCGACCAUACGGACGCCGUGGCAGCAACUGGAUGCCAGUACUGACAACUGGUGUUGUAAGCAGUGCUUGGGGGUACACCCCCAGUAUCGACAAGUGUUCCCUGUGUGGGACAGCAUCCAGGGCCUCGUUUCAUAAAAGGAAUUACUUACGGCGUUCCGUCAAUUAUGCCAGAUUUGGCGUAUUUGUUGCCAAUUCGGUUUCACAAAGCCGAAGACCGGAGUAAUUCACGCCAUCGAAAUUACGGAGCAUCGUUUACGGCAAAUGCUCGAUUCCGGACCAAUUGAUGCCAUUUGGGUUUCAUAAAACGACGUAAUUAACGCCAAAUAUUUUAUCAAGUUCUUGCUAUCAGUGGUGUAAACUACGCACAAAAAUGUUGCGUGAAUUUGAAUUAAUAUUGAGAUUCGAAGCUAAUUUUAUCUUUUUUUAUAAUGCUGAGCCCGGUGAUGAAGAAAGAACAGCCAAAAUGAGAAAAAGAAACUGCAAAUCUUCUGUGCCAGUCGCUUUUUGUGGCCACUGUCGGAAUUUUGUUUAUUCGCCGCGCCGCGCCACUUUCGUAGUUAGGCACCUCCGCUUAGCUGGCUUUCUGCUGUUUUCAAUAAAUUGAUUUAAUAAAGGAUGGUCAGCAAAAUCGACUUUGUUUUUUCAUAAAUAAUUUUUACGAUUUAAAUUCAACGUAAUUGCUUUAUAAUUUCUUGCAAAAAAAUAAGUGUUGACAUGAAAUUGUAAUUUGUAGGACGCUUGAUAAAUUACGGUAACUACGCAAAUGUGCUUAGUUACGGAGGUGUAAACAAUUCCAGUUGUGGCUUUGUGAAACGGCUUCAUUUGCGCUCCGUAGUUUGAAAGGGUGUGAAUUACGGAAAGGUGUAAGUUACGGCAGAGCUUAUGAAACGAGGCCCAGGACGUGGCUGUCCUCCACUCGCAUCGAGCAAAUGCAUGGCGUGCCAUCCGGACACCACUCUCAAUGGAGUCAGUGAAACUGGCUGAGGUAGCGGAUGUGCUCCCUAACUCGUACGCCAGCUGCCGAGAGAUCUUGGAGCACCUGCACCGGGUGGCUGGUGUUGGCAGUCACCGUGAGUGGGUUCCGGUCGGUUGCGACGGUCAGUCUUUUGACUUGAUAAGAAAUCUCAUAGACAACUGUCUGAUUCAGUGUGACCUGUGUGGAGAGUGCCUGUCGCCAGACGAGGAGGACAGUCACGAUCAUGGCGACAUACCCUGGAGUGCAAGAAAGGUGUUUGACUGGAUACUUCUGAGGCCGGGACUGGGCCAUGUAGAAAUGAACUGUCUCAAAGUGCUCUUUCGACUUCUAUGGGUGCCUGUUCUUCGGCAUGUAGCCAGUCUGAUCGGCUUCAAGAGCGCACCAUCAUAGGCAUUUAUAAGGAACUGUGGGGGACAAUCACUUGAGCUGGCAACUGCUAUGCGUUUUACGUGAUGCCUUGUGUCGCGAACUCGCAGUGCCGUACGUGCGGGAGUGCCUGUCACAUGAUGUCAGUCCCUCUUCGACUGGGUUCAUCAGCUGGACCAUGGGAGUGUCCAACAGCAACUACAUGCUGAUGUUCAAACUGACUGACCUGAUGGUGACGCUCAGUAUGAUGCGCGCCGGUAUCAGACGUAACAAUACAAACGCGAUGCUCUCUGGAA
RNAcentral lists this long non-coding RNA (2772 nucleotides) under Amphibalanus amphitrite. RNAcentral's name for it is "uncharacterized LOC122384417". Lineage: Eukaryota; Metazoa; Arthropoda; Thecostraca; Balanomorpha; Balanidae. The record is from RNAcentral.